AAGGGGUCUCUUCUCCUUUUGUGU
This 24-nucleotide non-coding RNA is filed under the name Arabidopsis thaliana (thale cress). The record is from RNAcentral. Lineage: Eukaryota; Viridiplantae; Streptophyta; Magnoliopsida; Brassicales; Brassicaceae.